Molecule: long non-coding RNA, 953 nt
Filed under: Homo sapiens (human)
Lineage: Eukaryota; Metazoa; Chordata; Mammalia; Primates; Hominidae
Description: HSALNT0251887
Source: RNAcentral
GAUCUGUGAUAAUUGUCCACAGGUAGUCUUUGAUCAUAUGUUCUCCUGUCUGGAGGAACUAAUAUGUCCUUCCAACUCUGCCCAGCCUUCAGGUACAAUUUAGGCCCCUACUUUUCUCUUAGGCUUUCUUCAGCCACUGUAACUUUUUUAAGUUUCUCCCUUAUCCAAAGUCCCUUACUACUUAGAACCUCGGAAGUAAAGGGACCUCAGAGAACAUCCAGUCCACGCUGCCCUCUGUUUAAAUGUGUCUACAGUGUACCACACCAAGGAACUCCCACACUCUGAAUGAACAGCCCAGUGAUCAGGAGCUUUGAAUCAAUUCUUGGCACCUAACAGUUUGUGAAGAGUCUGCUAAACUCCCUCUAUCAGAAAUCCCAGAGGACUGAGAACAGGUCAUCCUUGGAGCUGUAUCUGAAUGGAGUCAGGAUCUGGAAGCCCAAGUCUCCUUGUCAAUGUCUGCUUGGUUCCCAAGGACACCUGUAAAUGGAAGAGGGGCAUAGUACACAGAAGACAUUGCUGGCAAGUGUGGUCUCUUUACGAUCAGGUGCCACCCUGAUCCCUCAUUGCCUUUCAGCUGCAUGUCUAAAUCCCCACCCCACCCCUCAUCUAGUUGGCUUUGAUUCCAAGGACCUAGGACUGGAGUAGGGCUUUCACAAAUAAGACAGCAGGAAUGUAAUGCAACCUAAUGAGCAGACUAAGAAAGCAUCUAUACAGAAGAACAGACAUACAAAUACCAAGGCAGAUAAGAGUGACAAAAGACAAAAAAAAAAAAAAAAAAAAGAGAGAGAGAGAGAAAAAGCUGAAGCCGGUCAGAAUUCAUCAGGGGAUGGUGUAUGUCUACCACCUCAGUGGUCCUUUAAAGGUAAACGGGCUUAUUUUUCAUGCACCAGCCUAUGGUCCCUUCACUGGGACACUCUCAACAUCCCCGGCUUUUUAUAACUCUGGCUGGAAAG